UCUUGCAAACUAAAGAUGGCGACCGGCGCACGGGUGAGUAACACGUAUCCGACCUGCCGAUAACUCGGGGAUAGCCUUUCGAAAGAAAGAUUAAUAUCCGAUAGUAUAUUAAAACCGCAUGGUUUUACUAUUAAAGAAUUUCGGUUAUCGAUGGGGAUGCGUUCCAUUAGUUUGUUGGCGGGGUAACGGCCCACCAAGACUACGAUGGAUAGGGGUUCUGAGAGGAAGGUCCCCCACAUUGGAACUGAGACACGGUCCAA
Molecule: ribosomal RNA, 260 nt
Filed under: uncultured bacterium
Lineage: Bacteria
Description: partial 16S ribosomal RNA
Rfam family: Bacterial small subunit ribosomal RNA
Source: RNAcentral